Molecule: ribosomal RNA, 497 nt
Filed under: uncultured bacterium
Lineage: Bacteria
Description: partial 16S ribosomal RNA
Rfam family: Bacterial small subunit ribosomal RNA
Source: RNAcentral
GAUGAACGCUGGCGGCGUGCCUAAUACAUGCAAGUCGAGCGAACAGACGAGGAGCUUGCUCCUCUGACGUUAGCGGCGGACGGGUGAGUAACACGUGGAUAACCUCCCUAUAUGACUGGGAUAACUUCGGGAAACCGGAGCUAAUACCGGAUAAUCUAUUGAACCGCAUGGUUCAAUAGUGAAAGACGGUUUUGCUGUCACUUAUAGCUGGAUCCGCGCCGCAUUAGCUAGUUGGUAAGGUAACGGCUUACCAAGGCGACGAUGCGUAGCCGACCUGAGAGGGUGAUAGGCCACACUGGAACUGAGACACGGUCCAGACUCCUACGGGAGGCAGCAGUAGGGAAUAUUCCGCAAUGGGCGAAAGCCUGACGGAGCAACGCCGCGUGAGUGAUGAAGGUCUUCGGAUCGUAAAACUCUGUUAUUAGGGAAGAACAAAUGUGGAAGUAAAUAUGCACGUCUUGACGGUACCUAAUCAGAAAGCCACGGCUAACUACGUG